GAUGAACGCUGGCGGCGUGCCUAAUACAUGCAAGUCGAGCGAACGGACGAGAAGCUUGCUUCUCUGAUGUUAGCGGCGGACGGGUGAGUAACACGUGGAUAACCUACCUAUAAGACUGGGAUAACUUCGGGAAACCGGAGCUAAUACCGGAUAAUAUUUUGAACCGCAUGGUUCAAAAGUGAAAGACGGUCUUGCUGUCACUUAUAGAUGGAUCCGCGCUGCAUUAGCUAGUUGGUAAGGUAACGGCUUACCAAGGCAACGAUGCAUAGCCGACCUGAGAGGGUGAUCGGCCACACUGGAACUGAGACACGGUCCAGACUCCUACGGGAGGCAGCAGUAGGGAAUCUUCCGCAAUGGGCGAAAGCCUGACGGAGCAACGCCGCGUGAGUGAUGAAGGUCUUCGGAUCGUAAAACUCUGUUAUUAGGGAAGAACAUAUGUGUAAGUAACUGUGCACAUCUUGACGGUACCUAAUCAGAAAGCCACGGCUAACUACGUGCCAGCAGCCGCGGUAAUACGUAGGUGGCAAGCGUUAUCCGGAAUUAUUGGGCGUAAAGCGCGCGUAGGCGGUUUUUUAGUCUGAUGUGAAAGCCCACGGCUCAACCGUGGAGGGUCAUUGGAAACUGGAAAACUUGAGUGCAGAAGAGGAAAGUGGAAUUCCAUGUGUAGCGGUGAAAUGCGCAGAGAUAUGGAGGAACACCAGUGGCGAAGGCGACUUUCUGGUCUGUAACUGACGCUGAUGUGCGAAAGCGUGGGGAUCAAACAGGAUUAGAUACCCUGGUAGUCCACGCCGUAAACGAUGAGUGCUAAGUGUUAGGGGGUUUCCGCCCCUUAGUGCUGCAGCUAACGCAUUAAGCACUCCGCCUGGGGAGUACGACCGCAAGGUUGAAACUCAAAGGAAUUGACGGGGACCCGCACAAGCGGUGGAGCAUGUGGUUUAAUUCGAAGCAACGCGAAGAACCUUACCAAAUCUUGACAUCCUUUGACAACUCUAGAGAUAGAGCCUUCCCCUUCGGGGGACAAAGUGACAGGUGGUGCAUGGUUGUCGUCAGCUCGUGUCGUGAGAUGUUGGGUUAGGUCCCGCAACGAGCGCAACCCUUAAGCUUAGUUGCCAUCAUUAAGUUGGGCACUCUAAGUUGACUGCCGGUGACAAACCGGAGGAAGGUGGGGAUGACGUCAAAUCAUCAUGCCCCUUAUGAUUUGGGCUACACACGUGCUACAAUGGACAAUACAAAGGGCAGCGAAACCGCGAGGUCAAGCAAAUCCCAUAAAGUUGUUCUCAGUUCGGAUUGUAGUCUGCAACUCGACUACAUGAAGCUGGAAUCGCUAGUAAUCGUAGAUCAGCAUGCUACGGUGAAUACGUUCCCGGGUCU
This 1371-nucleotide ribosomal RNA is filed under the name uncultured bacterium. RNAcentral describes it as "bacterial SSU rRNA". It matches the Rfam family "Bacterial small subunit ribosomal RNA", at positions 28 to 1381 of the family's 1533-position model. The record is from RNAcentral.